UGUUUACAGUCCUGCUCACAGCUCUCUCUUUUUUCCUUCCACUUUCUCCACUACGUAGACACAUCUUCUAAGUGGAGGAGUGGAGAAAGAAUAAAACUGAAAAGGCAAAACAGGAGGGUGAUCUCCGGGAACAUUCCAGAACCUCACUGCCUUUGCUGUUCUCUGCACGCUGGCCACCGCACCCACCGAGAGCAGAGGCCCGGAGGCUGGGCACCAGACUAGACCGUUAGAAUCGGCAGGACCGUGGUUACAAAAUGAAUAGCAUCUCAGGAGGCCAGUGUCUCAUUCCAGGGAUCCCACGUGUCCCUCCUGCCCCAGAUGGAGAAAGCAGGGCCUCAGCAUGCAGAGGACAGAGUAAAGUGAGGAGGUUUGCUGACCUUCAGCAGAAAGACCAGGAUGACCUUGGUUCCGGCUACAGCACCUUCAGAAAAGCUUCCAGAUACACCUUGUUAUGGCUCAGCUCACACCUUAUCUCCUCCACCUGCUUUUGCUCCUAACUGUUUGUCUGCAGAAGUGGUUUGAUCCACAGGCAACCACCCUAUCAACACCACGGUGAUGGCACCACCAGCUGCCCUCAGAA
Long non-coding RNA from Myotis davidii, 580 nucleotides. RefSeq lists it as uncharacterized. The record is from RefSeq and is a predicted model, not a curated record. Lineage: Eukaryota; Metazoa; Chordata; Mammalia; Chiroptera; Vespertilionidae. The transcript has 3 exons.